Trachemys scripta elegans is the source of this 708-nucleotide long non-coding RNA. RefSeq lists it as uncharacterized. The record is from RefSeq and is a predicted model, not a curated record. NCBI's taxonomy places the organism in Eukaryota, Metazoa, Chordata, Testudines, Emydidae. The transcript has 4 exons.
UGGAACACUGUGGUGCUCUGCUUAUCCCCUACUUCCAAAGCCCCUAGGAAGUCAUGAGAAGUGGAGCAUCAGACCGUUCCUGAGACUGCUUUAACCUUCAUGGGGGAGGAGGCUAAUCAUGGGUCAAGGUUGCUGCUUUCUGAAAAAGCCAGUGAGAGGUGAAAGCAUUACAGAGAAAACAUAUAUUAAAACCAAUACAAGAACCUACACGUGUUAAUGAGCUUACGAGAGAUCAUCCCAACUCCACCAAUGGCUCUGAUGUGCCCUUGAGGGUCUCCUCUUGCACACUGGCUGAGCGGCUCCAUCUGGUAAGGAAAUGAAACAGGACGAGUAAGGAAGACAUGUUCUGAGAAGUGCUGCGAUCCUCUGAUGCUUUGGAUUGCAAGCAGAAAGCAUGGCGAGAGGCUAUCAAUGAGAAACUGUGAAUGGAGAGCCAGGAGAGGAAACAGGGGCAGGAGCGGAUGAUAAAGCUGCUCCAGGACCAAACAGACAUGCUGAGGUCCCUGAUUGAACUUCAGGCAGAACACAUGUGCUUGCCUCCCCCUGCAGCCCAUACAAAACUGUCUUCCAAGCCCUCCCCAUACUCCCACACACACAUUCCUCACGUGUUCUUAGGCCAUCGUAGUACCCCCUGCACUCCACCCCAAGGGACAUGUUUCACAAUGACAGUUGUGACAUACACCCAGCUGUGAGAGCCUUGUUGGCAAA